This 399-nucleotide ribosomal RNA is filed under the name Triticum aestivum (bread wheat). RNAcentral describes it as "partial small subunit ribosomal RNA". Lineage: Eukaryota; Viridiplantae; Streptophyta; Magnoliopsida; Poales; Poaceae. The record is from RNAcentral.
AUCCGACAAUUCUUUUGGGAAAGCAAAGAAGGGAAGCGUAAGCAUCAUUGGGUCUCCUCGAAAACAAUGACACAACCAAACAAGUAUGGAGGACUUGGUUUUAGAGAUCUUGAGCUCUUCAACCUAGAAUUAUUAGCACGGUAGACUCAGCAGCUGUUGAUGAAGCCUGCCUCUCUAUGUGCAAAAUUACUCAAGGCAAUUUAUUUUCUGGAGGGCAACAUCUUGGAUGUCACGGUGGGUUCUCACCCUUCGCAGGUGAGGCGGUCGUUGAUUGAGCGGAGGGACGUGCUAGCUCAAGGCCUCAUUCGAAGGAUAGGAGAUGGAAGUUCCACGCACAUAUGGUCACAUAAUUGGAUUCCCAGGGACACUGCAAUGGAACCAAUCGGCUGCUUGAGGUGA